Molecule: ribosomal RNA, 505 nt
Filed under: uncultured bacterium
Lineage: Bacteria
Description: partial 16S ribosomal RNA
Rfam family: Bacterial small subunit ribosomal RNA
Source: RNAcentral
GAUGAACGCUGGCGGCGUGCCUAAUACAUGCAAGUAGAACGCACAGUUUAUACCGUAGCUUGCUACACCAUAGACUGUGAGUUGCGAACGGGUGAGUAACGCGUAGGUAACCUGCCUGGUAGCGGGGGAUAACUAUUGGAAACGAUAGCUAAUACCGCAUAAUAUUGAUUAUUGCAUGAUAAUUGAUUGAAAGAUGCUAUUGCAUCACUACCAGAUGGACCUGCGUUGUAUUAGCUAGUAGGUGAGGUAACGGCUCACCUAGGCGACGAUACAUAGCCGACCUGAGAGGGUGAUCGGCCACACUGGGACUGAGACACGGCCCAGACUCCUACGGGAGGCAGCAGUAGGGAAUCUUCGGCAAUAGACGAAAGUCUGACCGAGCAACGCCGCGUGAGUGAAGAAGGUUUUCGGAUCGUAAAGCUCUGUUGUAAGAGAAGAACGGGUGUGAGAGUGGAAAGUUCACACUGUGACGGUAUCUUACCAGAAAGGGACGGCUAACUACGUG